This 497-nucleotide ribosomal RNA is filed under the name uncultured bacterium. Its description in RNAcentral is "partial 16S ribosomal RNA". It matches the Rfam family "Bacterial small subunit ribosomal RNA", at positions 28 to 507 of the family's 1533-position model. The record is from RNAcentral.
GAUGAACGCUGGCGGCGUGCCUAAUACAUGCAAGUCGAGCGAACAGACGAGGAUUUUGCUCCUCUGACGUGAGGGGCGGACGGGUGAGUAACACGAGUAUAACCUACCUAUAAGACUGGGAUAAUUUCGGGAAACCGGAUCUAACACCGGAUAAGAUAUUGAACCGCAUGGGUCAUUGGAGAAAGACGGCUUUGCUGGCACUACUAGAGGCAUCUGAGCCGGAUUAGCUAGUAGGUAGGGUAACGGCUUACCAAGGCGACGAUGCGUAGCCGACCUGACAGGGUGAUCGGCCACACGGGAACUGAGACACGGUCCAUACUCCUACGGGAGGCAGCAGUCGGGAAUGUUCGGCAGUGGGCGAAAGCCUGACACAGCAACGCCGCGUGUGUGAUGAAGGUCUUCGGAUCGUAAAGCUCUGUUAUUGGGGAUGAACCGCUGUGUACUUAGAUAUAGCCGUCUUGACGGUACCUAAUCAAGAAGCACCGGCUAACUACGUG